CUAGUAUAUACUAGUAUAUGCUAGUUUGUGCUCACAAAAUGCUAAUUUGAGGAGGUAAAAUGUAUGUCACUUCCAGGGCUUCAUAGUUUACUAAAACAUUCCAAUAAAAAAACAACAAACACGACAUGAUCAUAUAAAGUCCAUCUAAAACAGAACAAAAAAACAUUUUAUAAGAAACUACUUUAUAAAAAACCCUCAUCCAUUUAAAUGAAUGAAGAACAAUUAAUUUGAAAAGUAAAGCUAGAAUCCAGAUGUAAGAAAAACUUAAAAAUGAUAAACAGGGUCAAAUAAAAACACAAAAAUAGAAAACAAUUUCUUAAAUAUAUUAAAAUUUAAUAGAACAUACAUUUAAAUAUAAAGUAUAACUUGGUUAAAACCUAAUUUAAAACACCAUUCAGAGAAAGUCCCCAGAAGCAGCAGCGAUGAAGGAGCCCUCAUGAGGGUCUCAGGAUCAGGGUCUCGGUCCCGGUUCUGAUCCUGAGACCCUCACCAGGGUCCCGGUUCUGAUCCUGAGACCCUCACGAGGGUCCCGGUUCUGAUCCUGAGACCCUCACCAGGGUCCCGGUUCUGAUCCUGAGACCCUCACCAGGGUCCCGGUUCUGAUCCUGAGACCCUCACGAGGGUCCCGGUUCUGAUCCUGAGACCCUCACGAGGGUCCCGGUUCUGAUCCUGAGACCCUCACCAGGGUCCCGGUUCUGAUCCUGAGACCCUCACGAGGGUCCCGGUUCUGAUCCUGAGACCCUCACGAGCGUCCCGGUUCUGAUCCUGAGACCCUCACCAGGGUCCCGGUUCUGAUCCUGAGACCCUCACCAGGGUCCCAGUUCUGAUCCUGAGACCAGACCAGAGCGUCUCUGGAGCAGGAGCUUAAGUCACAUGGAACCAGCAGAGUGGGACCAGCUGGACCAGGACAGACUCUCUGCAGUUCUGCAGCAAAGGGAAUCAAAGAUCUCAGCUCAGCUGCAGGGAUAAGCUUAGCCUCACCUGAAACGCUAGUCAGACAGGUGUGUGUGAGUCUGUGUGUAGUUUAUGCUUGUUUUGUGUUUUUGUCAUCAGUGUAGCAUCAGGUUCAGGCUGUUUAAACAAUCAGGGAUAAGUGCGUGUUGUUUCAAGGACAGAAGCUUGCCUGUGUGAGUGUGUGUAUGUUGUGUCUGUGUGUUUGUGUGGCAGUGAGUCACAGAUCAGCGGAGUGGGGUGUUUACAAACCCCCAGGCGCUCUCUGUUCACGCAUAAUGCAGCAGCUGACAUAUGCACGCUGUGAUUCCAGAGAGGGCGCGUGCACGUGCCCGACGUGCACGACCAGAUACUUUUCCCCAGCAGACUGAGCAUCUCAGCCCUCUUUAUGGCUAAUUAUAAGAGAAACCAGCCUCCAUGUCUAGGGGGCGGGGCUAAAGCUCAUCAUGAAACAUCAGGUCCAUUAUCCAGGUGGUUCUUCUGUAAAAAUCUAAUUCUGCUGCUUCAGUCCAUCUGGAGAAAUGGACCAGAAUUUUUUUGUUGAUAUUUUAAAUCAAAAUGUUGUCGUUUUUGUGCUUUGUAAAAUCUACGCCCUUAUUUGGAGCCUUUCAGCCAAAUCGUGUUAGCACCGUCAGCGUGACCCAACAUGUGGAGGAGAAGCCCAUCAGCGGAUGAAACCAUCAGCUCCAACAACGAUGAACUGAAAGGCUGCAGGGAUCCACUCUGACAGAGUCACGUGACUCUGUCCCUCCACAUCCAGGUCAGCCUCCUCUUUCUGUCUCCUCGCCUGCAGACAGCCAUUCUUCCACGCCGCUGCAUCUUUCCCCGCUCUCCCUCCUCCACGCCGCCCGCCGCCGCAGCUCCGCAGGGAAGGAAGAUGGCCGCUCCAAUCCAAAGUCUGCCGAUCCCUGCUGGAGGCUGCAUUCCCAAACCGAUCCUUUAAAAGCAUGACGCUCCUGCAGGCUGGAAGGUUUUGUCUUUCCACAAAAGCGGAUCUUUAGUUUAAAGAUCUUUCAAUAUUUAAUGACGCAUGCUGUUGGAGAAUCUUUUUCAACGUAGAAUUCAUACCUGAGAGAGAGAGAGGACGACACUUUGACCUCAGAGAACCCGGCUCUGACACUCAAGUCAUUCCUGAGAUUCUGGACCUGAAAUGUGGUUUUCAAUCCACUUUUAGUUAGAAUCAUCAGACUCCACAAGAGAAGUGAAGCUUCUUUUUUCAAACCAGAAAAGCUCCGCUCACAUUCAUUAGAACACAUUCCACACUGAAUUUCUGCAUCAGUGUCAUUACAGAGCUGGGAAACAUCAGAAAGGGCAGAAAUAUUUAAUGUCAUUGUUCUGAGGAGCUACAGUAUAAAGCAUCAAAGGCUCUGAAGUACCAGUAUCAUGAAAGCAUCGCUUCAUCCUUAUUUUCAAAAUUAAAGGAGCUCGAAAGGCUUUUUGUUUUACAUUGGUUCCUACUUUGGUUACAGUUAAAGUUUAGAAAUCUGAAGAAAAUCUGCAAUCUCCCCUGGAAUCACAAAAGACGGAUUUCAAAGCCGAACUUCUUCCUCCAGAGUCUUCAUCGGUACUUGAAGGUGUCGACACGACCUGCACUGACGAUAACAAUCACAGCCUCCUCUAACUGCAGAUAAUCCUGCUUCAGGAUCAACAACCAACAACGUUUUUGAUCGGGAAAAAAGGAUAACGGAAGAAAACUAGAUUGAAGAAUCUCAUUAACCAUCAUGUUCUUUAUAAGGUGAAGAUAAAUGUUCAUUUGGUGUUUCUGAAUCAGUUUUGACAGGUUGAAGACCCAAGAUGAGAGAUUAGGAGCCAUCUAGUGGCACUAUGUUGUAAUUGCAGCCAAAAUGAAAUCCUCUAGAAAUAAAGUCCAAAACAUACUUUCACAAAUAAAAAUAUUAUAAACUGGAGAAAAUCUUGUUAGUACUGACAAUUAUCUACAAUUCUCAAUUCUGCGAUGAAUCAGAGAUGACAAGAAAAACUAAAGAGUAGAUCAGGACCGUGAGCUCCUACUGUCCUCUGAUCACCUGAUCAGGUAAACGGAGGUUCUGACUGACGGGCAGAGAAACGGAGAACCCGGGGGCCUUGUCUGCUGAGGGGAGGUGCUCCUUUAAGCCACAGCACGGGGGAGCUGGGGUGAAUUCCUCUGAGACGAGUCCAGGCAGGACUUCAGACGCCGGCGUGCAGCUUCCUGUGGGUGGUCUCUCCCUGUGGCAGGAACCCUGUAACCCCCCCCCCCCCAUGGCGCCCUUAGAACAGAAGCAAAGACUGAACAAGACCAAAGCGCUCUUCCAUCUGCUGCUCAUGUGGGGGCGCUGUUGUCCAAAACGAGCUGUGGCCAACCCAAAUAAAAGCAGGAAGAAGAAAAGCAGCCAGUCCUGCUCCUCCAUGUCCUCACCUCCAAAGUUCUUCAUGGUUCCUGUUCCACAAAGGUUUGGAAUGGAAGUUAAAAAAAUGGUUUUGAACCGUAAAUACUGAUACAGGCGCCGGGAUCCGGAUGAGCAGAGCGAUCUGCUGAUGCCGUUCCAGAGUUCGGCUUCGGUCUGGGUUUGUCUGCUGACCUUCAUGGAGACCAGACAGGAAGAAGCUGAAGUUUUCUUCCAUUUAUUAUUUACCAGAUGGUUCAACUGAUGUCAACUUUGAGCCUGAAAGACCCACUGAUGAAAAUGUUGUCUUUGGUGUUUUUAACAUGUUGUUGUGGCAUUUUUCUAACUAUGGAGGCCAUAAAUCGACAAAAUUAAGAUUAAAAUUGCAUUUCUGAUUA
Oryzias latipes (Japanese medaka) is the source of this 3712-nucleotide non-coding RNA. NCBI's taxonomy places the organism in Eukaryota, Metazoa, Chordata, Actinopteri, Beloniformes, Adrianichthyidae. The record is from RefSeq and is a predicted model, not a curated record.